CUUAGUACGAGAGGACCGGGACGGACGAACCUCUGGUAUGUCAGUUGUACCGCCAGGUGCAUGGCUGAUUGGCUACGUUCGGGAGGGAUAACCGCUGAAAGCAUCUAAGCGGGAAGCCUGUUUCGAGAUGAGAUUUCCUGGCACUUUUGGUGUGUGAGGCUCCUUAUAGAUGAUGAGGUUGAUAGGCCGGGUAUGGAAGCGGGGACUGAAGACUCGUGGAGUUGACUGGUACUAAUAGGCCGAAGGCUUACUUUU
RNAcentral lists this ribosomal RNA (255 nucleotides) under Rothia mucilaginosa. Its description in RNAcentral is "partial 23S ribosomal RNA". It matches the Rfam family "Bacterial large subunit ribosomal RNA", at positions 2677 to 2925 of the family's 2925-position model. The record is from RNAcentral. Lineage: Bacteria; Bacillati; Actinomycetota; Actinomycetes; Micrococcales; Micrococcaceae.